Molecule: non-coding RNA, 65 nt
Organism: Dipodomys ordii (Ord's kangaroo rat)
Lineage: Eukaryota; Metazoa; Chordata; Mammalia; Rodentia; Heteromyidae
Source: Rfam
GGUGGCUCAGUGGUAGAGUGCUUGCCUUGCAUGCAUGAGGCCCUGGGUUCAAUUCACCAGCACCA